RNAcentral lists this small nucleolar RNA (68 nucleotides) under Pyrobaculum calidifontis JCM 11548. Its description in RNAcentral is "Pyrobaculum sRNA 201". It matches the Rfam family "Pyrobaculum sRNA 201". From Rfam's summary of the family: Has weak conservation of the canonical pseudouridylation guide sRNA features among the Pyrobaculum species. The record is from Rfam by way of RNAcentral. Lineage: Archaea; Thermoproteati; Thermoproteota; Thermoprotei; Thermoproteales; Thermoproteaceae.
GCCCCUGGCGUGGGGUGUCGAGCCGCCGCACAGGCGCCGGUGAACACGCCCCCUCCAAGGGGCGUACA